UUUUUUUUUUUUUUUAGUAAAGUGUUUAUUGACUACCUGUCCUCCUCACGAGAAUAUAAGUUCAGUGAAGACAAAGACCAUGUAUGUCUGUUCCCUCAACAAAACUUAACCAAUGGAAGGAUAAAUGGUGGGUUGCAUGAACACAUUGCACAGGAGUGGGACCACCAUAGGGACUCAGUAAAUAGGAGUUAUUGUUACUAAUUUGGAGGCACUGAGAGUGGCCCACAGGGGCUGGAUUUCUCAGAAUGGGUGGGGCUACAGAGAAGAACCCAGAGAACUCCCUGGCCUGAGGAGGACCUUGGGCUCCACCCACAGCCAGCCCUUUCCCCAGUGUCCUCAGGCGCUUGGUCCCGGGCAGGUAGGGGAUUUGGAAUGUCCUGAGGCAGGACACCUGUCACCCACACCUGGAUGGGUGCCCAGCAAUGGGGUCAAUAAGAGGCUCUUCGUCCCCACAGGGAACCCAAGCAUCAGAAGGGACUGGUCACCAGGACCGCAUUUGUGAUUGACCCCUCACCACCACCACCACUGGCCAGGUAGGGAAUCAGGCCAGGCCCAGUUAGAGGAACCAGAGAACAUGGUCAUGAAUCUAUCACCCUGAGAUCGGAGGAUGGGCUCAGAGUUCUAGAGGAAAGAACAAAUCUGUGCAGAAGGCCCAGGUCCAUCACUUUAACUGUGUGACUUCAGGCAAAUCACUUAACCUCUCUGAGCCUCAGUCUCCCCCAUCUGUCAGGUAGAAAUAAUAAUAUCCAUCUUAAGAUGCUGAUAGAAGGAUUGUUAAGAAUAAUAUUAGCUAACACUUACUUUGCUCUGUGCCAGCGGUGUCACAUUAUCUCCUUUGAUCCUCAAAACGUCCCUAAUGUUAGACAUCUGUAUUCCUACUUUACAGAGGAAGAAACUGAGGUUCAGAGAGGGUACUGGCCAGCCCCAAACCACACAGCUAGGAUGAAUCAGGGCAGAGCUGGUUCAAGUGUGCUGGUUGUAAAGCCCUGCGUUCACCACCACCCACAGAAGGCACUUGAGCACCUGGCCAGGCACAAACAAAUUCCCAGUCAAGGUGAACUUUCUGCUUCCCUGAGCUUCAGGUCUGGGGGCAGAUGAGCCCCACUACAGGGGCUGAAGGGAAAGGGAGCCAGAUGGCCCUUACCUGGCCAGGUUGAGGCUGCAGCAACAGCCCCCACCCUGGUCCCGCCAAGCACUAGCAGCCUGGGCUGGCUUUGAGCUUCCAGCAGGUUGCAAGGAGCUCCUUCCCCAACACCUCGUCUCCCCAGGAAUCAGGCUGGGCUCACCCCCCCACCCCCCAACCCACCCCCGCACAGAGGAAGUUCAGCUAGGUCAGGCCUGCCCCUUUCCCACAGCCCCGAAAUGACCCUCCUCAGCUUUGCCCCUCACCUCGGGGCUGAGAAUCUCCCAAGGUCCCCCGCCCAGGGCCUGCGGGCUUAUGCUGCCAUUGGUCUCGCGCCUUCUAUAGGGGACAACCUAAUUCACGUGUGACCCACACCAAUAAAUCAGGGAGGGGGAGGGGGGUGGGGACAUUCAUAAAUCCAUAUCAAACAGUCCCCAAAUUAUGACAGAUGACAUGGCAGUCAUAAAAUUGCACAAGCAAAACUCACCAAGUCAUUAAUUUCAUGGCCGUAGAAAAUAAACAGACACAUUUUUUCGCGGCCCUAAUAAAUUUUUAAAAACUCAAAGAAUGGUCCAUCUGCUUCGAAUAAUUUUUAAUUUCCUAUUCUGUCUCAUUCCCAUUAGCUAUUCCACUGAGAUAUUUGCUAAAUUCUUUCAUUUACCUCCUCCCAUCUGUAUUCAAUUACCCUAUUCCCAAAUAGAGUGAGUUUUUGUUUCUCCUAAGCGCGGGACAAAAUACCCCCGCCUGUACCUUAAAGCAAAUGUUAUGUGUGUUUUAUUAUCUGUUAGACCGUAUGAGUCAUUCUAACUCGAUUGCCUGUGUGGAAAGGUUUGGAGAGCAAUCUGAUUUUGAUGUUUUUUGGCUUGGGUGGAAAACACCUGCCCGAUUCUCAAAGCUAAUCUAUUAACGUGGUAAAUGCUGUAGCAGAUGUUCCUGAGUGAGCGAGGGGCCGCGCUGGGCUGUGACCAGGCCCCGAGUGUCGGGCACACAGUGGAAAUGCUCCGAGAUCAGAGGCCAGAAACGUCACUGGGGGCCCGAGCUGUCACAGAGUCACCUUUCCUGGCUGCCCGUGGGCUCUGGCCCUCCAGCCACUCCUCGUGGCCUCCCCGGGCCCUCAGCAGCCACUCAAGAUAGGACAUUUCAAGGUCAGCUGGCUCGCUCCCCCCGCCCUCCUGUUUUUUACAUAAGGGACACUGAGGUCCAGAGAAGAGAGGCACCAAACCACACAGAAUCCUGAAAAAGGACAACAUCCCUUUAGGCUGACCCUAAUAUUCCGCAGACCCUGCAAGUGAGCUGAGACUCAUUUCGUGGAGCUGAGAUACCGACGGGAGGAGGAUUCUGGGAGCACACCUACACCCUCCCACCCUGGGCCUUCCACCCAGGAAAACAAGAUCACUGUGGGCCUUUUCAGUCUAAAACUUUUCUAUUCCAUCUUUCCUCAUCCUGCAGGAGUUGGGCCAGGCCUGCAGGAAGUGGGGUGAGGGGCCAAGAGCAAGGCUUUGGCCUUGGAUGGGUUGGUCUCAACCCUGUGUGCACAUGGGAACUGCAGAGCCCAGGAACAUGGAUUUCCAGGCCAAGCUGCAGAUCUGGCGAGGAAUCGGUGUCUCCAAAGAUGCACAUUGGAGGAUCUAUGUAGCUGCACUGUGGGUGCCCACACCCCAUCACCCCACAUUCAAUCCAUGCGUGUUUGUGACUGCCUACUACGGGUAUGGGCAACACUGCCUGAGAGCUUGCUCUGGCCUGGAAUCAUGUUCAGUAGACUCUCAAGACAGCCCACAGGUGCCAGGAACCAGACACCCCCAAGAAUAUCCCUAAAGUGAUGAUGAAUGGGAGUUGGUGUGCAAGUAUCCCAGUUCCGUCCCCUCUUGAAGGUGACAAUUCUGAGAUGUGUUCUAUACCUGUGGUUCUCAACCAGGUAUGAUCUUGCCCCUGGGGGACACUGGCAAUGUCUGGAGAUAUCUUGUUGAAUGGUUGCUACCUGCGUCUAGUUGGUAGAGGCCAGGAGGCUGCUAAACAUCCUACAAUGCAUGGGACAGCGCCACCCCCCCCAACCUCCAACCAAUAAUUAUCCAGCCCAAAAUAUCGGUAGUGUGGAGGUUGAGAAACCCUAGUCUAUAUCCUCUCCCAGAGGUUCCCAAUGGAACUAAGCCUCAGAUGCUCACAUCAAUAACCUGCUCACUUAGGCCCAUUCUCCCGGCUUCUUUCUCCUCCUUGGCCCACUUCCCCCGCUGUCCUAUCAGCACUUCCCAGAACCACCUCUCACAUAACCACUUUCACUCAAAUCUUCAUCUCAAGGUCUGCUUCUUGGGGACCCAACCUAAGAUUAUCCAUUACUACAGUCAUAGCAACAACCUUGGAAGAUUCUCAAAGAUCUGGGUUCCAUUUCAGCCAUCUAUACUCUUACCAUAUAUAUUCAGUUCCAGUGACACACUGAUGUGGUCACCUAAGGAUACACGUAUGAGGGCACACCAGAUCAUCCUGGCCAGGAGGCCUUUUGGUCCUAUUCCAGUGGACCAGCUGAUUGGAGCUGUGUUAACCCCGAAAAGUGACAUUAGACUUGAGUACCAAUUCAAUAUAAUCACCUACCAGAAUCUCAGCUGACUUUUUUAUAGAAAUGGAUGAGGGGCAUCUGGGUGGCUCACUUGGUUAGGCGCCAGACUCUUGAUUUCAGCUCAGGUCUGCACUCAGUGGGGAGUCUGCUUCAGAUUUUCUCUCUCUCCCUCUCCCUUUUCCCCUCCCCAGCUUUUUUUUUUUUUUUUUUUUUUUAUGAUAGUCACACACAGAGAGAGAGAGAGAGAGGCAGAGACAUAGGCUGAGGGAGAAGCAGGCUCCAUGCACCGGGAGCCCGACGUGGGAUUCGAUCCCGGGUCUCCAGGAUUGUGCCCUGGGCCAAAGGCAGG
Molecule: long non-coding RNA, 4023 nt
Filed under: Canis lupus familiaris (dog)
Lineage: Eukaryota; Metazoa; Chordata; Mammalia; Carnivora; Canidae
Description: lncRNA (ENSCAFG00000057603.1)
Source: RNAcentral